CUCUUAGGAAACAGCCUCCAGCUGAGCAACAUCAAGUAAAGGUGGUGUAGUGCAAAGCACACCCAAAAAAGAAGCUGAAGUUGUAGCCCCAAAGAAGAAAGGUACAGUAACAACUCAGAAGACCGUUAAGUCUUCGUCCAAGGCAUCACAGGAAGGCUCAGCUUCAACAGAAGAAGAUAUUCCUGCUCUUCCUACCAUUGAUGAAAAUUUGCUUCAACAGACCCACAAAUAUAUUAUACAAGCUUCAGUGUUAUAUAAUAGUUGGCCACUUACUGAAAGUCAAAUUGUAUUUGUUCAGGCACUAAAAGAAUUAGAAAAAAAUGAAAUCAAAGCUCGUCCUGUUGAGAGACAUGAAGAGAAUAUAUCUAUCUUAAGUCCAGACAUCCAUAGCAAUUUGGAAAGUCAAAAGUCGGCAGGUUCUUCCAAAACCACUAGAAAAACAAAGGA
This is a long non-coding RNA of Protobothrops mucrosquamatus (brown spotted pit viper), 447 nucleotides long. RefSeq lists it as uncharacterized. The transcript is spliced from 4 exons. Lineage: Eukaryota; Metazoa; Chordata; Lepidosauria; Squamata; Viperidae. The record is from RefSeq and is a predicted model, not a curated record.